CUGUUUUCCAUUAUCAGAUGAGAUAUAGUAGCAGCUAACAUAAACCACUAUCUCUAUUUUUAGUCAGAAAGGAAACGAGACUCUCAUAAAAUCUGAAUGGCUAGAGGAGCAGGCUGGGCCUUCCACAAUGACUUCCAGCCCCACAACAUGGAAGCAGCCCUCUGCCCCAGUCAGGAAGCAGGGAACAGGAAGCGGAUGCAGCAACAGAUGGAUCCAGGAACAUCCUGUCCCACCUACCACCCAGGGAUGAGGAAAGCCAUGGCAGUCAUUAUGUUUUAGAUCUGAAACAUCCCCCAAAGCCUUCCGUGUUCAGCGGUAGGGCUUUUAAAAGGUGAUUGGAUCACAAGGGUUCUAUUUUUUAUCUGUGGAUUAAUCAGUCCAUUGAUAGAUUCAUAAUUUGGUGGCAUUGGAAGGAGGUGAUAGAAACUUGGAGGUGGGGCCAGGUUAAAGGAUGUGGGUGCUGGCUGGAGGUGUAACCCUGGGGACCAAGUCUUGUCUCUGGUCCCUUCCCCUCUAGCUUUCCCCCUCCCUGCUUCUGGCUGCUCUAAAGUGAGUGGCUUCCCUCCACCAUGCCCCUCCACCACGUUUCUGCCCCAACACAGGCCUCCUAUGGCAAUGCGCCAUACACCAACACCCCUAAACCGUGAGCCCCAAUAGCUAUUUCCUCCUUAGGUUGUUCACAGCUAUUUGGUCACAAUGAUGAAAAACUGAGUGAUACAGCAAUAUUGCCUCCAGAACUGAGCCUCUGUUUCCAGAUCCACAGCUGCGAUUAUGGGCCCUCCACUCUGUCUCUUGCUCCUCAUGUUGGCAAUUAGAUUCAAGGACCUCAGUCUCUGUUCCUACAGGGAAACCAUCAGAAGGACAAGAGUGAGACCUUUAUCUUCACUGUGCGUUCUACACCUCCUACCGUUGUCCGUGUCCUAGCAAGGGAUGAAGUGCCUUUGGCACAACUGACCUGGCUCUUAACUACUGCACAGAGAGAGGAACAGUUCCCAUUUCAUACUGCUCUACACAGAAGGCUUCAGCCCGAGGUCGACUGACGCUGAGGUAGAGAUGGAGGCAGAGCAAAGCUGCUCAGUCCACGGCACAGUGAAGUUUAACCCCAUAUCACACCAACCAAACUUCCCUGCUGGUCAGCCGUGCUUUCUAGAUUGAAUACUCGAGGUUAGUAUCUCUAAUCCCUCCUCUUCCCUCUGGUAAACUCAUACAUCCCUCAAAACAGCAGUACAGUUUUCGCCUUUUUUAUGAAGCUCUGAAUCUCCUGGUCAGUUGGCCCUGUUUGCCCCUGGGGCACCGUGUGCUGUCUGAUGGU
RNAcentral lists this long non-coding RNA (1312 nucleotides) under Heterocephalus glaber (naked mole-rat). RNAcentral describes it as "lncRNA (ENSHGLG00000036360.1)". Lineage: Eukaryota; Metazoa; Chordata; Mammalia; Rodentia; Bathyergidae. The record is from RNAcentral.